RNAcentral lists this transfer RNA (72 nucleotides) under Stegodyphus mimosarum. It matches the Rfam family "tRNA". Rfam says of the family: Transfer RNA (tRNA) molecules are approximately 80 nucleotides in length. Their secondary structure includes four short double-helical elements and three loops (D, anti-codon, and T loops). Lineage: Eukaryota; Metazoa; Arthropoda; Arachnida; Araneae; Eresidae. The record is from Rfam by way of RNAcentral.
GCCUUCGUAGUGUAGUGGUCAGCACGCUGGGGCGUAUUCCAGUGGUCCGUGGUUCGAGUCCCUUUGAAGGCG